This 212-nucleotide long non-coding RNA is filed under the name Trifolium pratense (red clover). RNAcentral's name for it is "long non-coding RNA (TPRA_LNC002018)". Lineage: Eukaryota; Viridiplantae; Streptophyta; Magnoliopsida; Fabales; Fabaceae. The record is from RNAcentral.
CCACUCAUAAAGGCACUCAUAUAUGAGUUUGUUGAAGAGAGAUCUGAAGGAAGUUGUGAGCAAUUUAUUUUUGCUUCUAACCCUAAAAGCCAACCUCCAGUGGCUUUGAUAAAGGAUCUCUUGGUGUGUUCCUUGAGAAGAGGACUGAUGUCCUCCCAGAUGUUGCUACAUCUGACCAGCAGUAUGCAGAAUCUUGUUGGAUUUAUUUUGAC